This 254-nucleotide ribosomal RNA is filed under the name uncultured bacterium. Its description in RNAcentral is "partial 16S rRNA". It matches the Rfam family "Bacterial small subunit ribosomal RNA", at positions 505 to 758 of the family's 1533-position model. The record is from RNAcentral.
GUGCCAGCCGCCGCGGUAAUACGUAGGUGGCAAGCGUUGUCCGGAUUUACUGGGCGUAAAGGAUGUGUAGGCGGAUAUUUAAGUGAGAUGUGAAAUCCCCGGGCUUAACCUGGGGGCGGCAUUUCAAACUGGAAGACUAGAGUGCAGGAGAGGAAAGCGGAAUUCCGAGUGUAGCGGUGAAAUGCGAUGAGAUUGGGAGGAAAACCAGUGGCGAAGGCGGCUUUCUGGACUGCAACUGACGCUGAGGCAGGAAA